Molecule: long non-coding RNA, 666 nt
Filed under: Phasianus colchicus (ring-necked pheasant)
Lineage: Eukaryota; Metazoa; Chordata; Aves; Galliformes; Phasianidae
Description: lncRNA (ENSPCLG00000000969.1)
Source: RNAcentral
GGUACACACACUCUGUGUAGUGAUGUAAUAGUGGUGUCAGGCAGGAGAUGCUGCAGUCAUCAGGAGGAACGAGUUCAGGCACAUCUCAGGAAGGAAUGUUGCUCAGGGAUGGAUGCCUUUCACGGUUGUUUUCCCAGCUGGCUGAAGGGUAAUGGUAGUGGAGGCUGCAUGUGGUUUUCGCAGUCCUGCACAACAGCCUUGGAGACAGCCUCCAAGGCACUACUGUGGCCCCAAGAGAGCUCACUGAGAUGCUACAGCACAUUGGAAUCAAGAAAACACAGAAAAAUAAACCUACCCAGAACUCAUAUCCUCAUGGCUGUGUGUGGGGCUGAGAGCAUCUGCCACAAUGAUUGUUGGCAAAAAGAGGUGAUUUGGGAAGGAAAUGCACCGGAGAAAUUAAGCCCUUUAAUACAGGAUAGAACAGAGAUCUUUAAGGUCACAGCUGAUGGCAGCAGGGCUGGUGAUGCCUCUGUGCCUGACAACGUUCACGUCCAGCUCUGGGAUGCACCAAACUCAACCCAAAGUGGGGUUCUUGCACUGCUCUCUAGCACCAAGAAUUCCAGCUGUCCCCAGCAAAGAGUUGCCCCAGGCCCAGUCCGUGCCAACAAAAACCUGUGCAGCAGUCAUAAGAUUACAACCCAGCUGUGGGCAUCAGGUUAAGUCUCC